Heterocephalus glaber (naked mole-rat) is the source of this 909-nucleotide long non-coding RNA. The record is from Ensembl. NCBI's taxonomy places the organism in Eukaryota, Metazoa, Chordata, Mammalia, Rodentia, Bathyergidae.
ACCUCCUACUAUGCUGCUAGGACUAGGACUGCAGCUUCUCAAAUGUUUCCGCCAUUUGCAACAUCUUUCCUGGUUGGUCCAGGAAAGGCAGGCUUGAUUGACUGUCCUAAUCUCCAAGUGGGUCAUCCCACUUGCUCUUCUAGAACCUGGCUACUCUAAAGCUUUUGGAGGAGUCAGCGCCCUGCCACAAAAUUGAACAGUAGGGAGAUACUGCCUUCCUCCUAGCAAAUCUUCAAAAGAAAUGUUUGAAUGAUCCUCACUGUUGGAAAGAGUUUGGGGGAAAUGGGCAUUCUCAUGUAUGCUGGUAAAUGGACCUAACUACCUGGAGAACAGCCUGACCACAUGGAGACAGCCAAAGAGACAUGAAUGCCAGACGGUGUAGAUCCAAAGGACCUCUCAUCUAUGGCUGGUGGAAGUGUAAAUUGAGUCCCUAGAGAAAUACUCGCCUCGAACAGCUGAAGAAUUCUGGAUUAUCCGUCAAGAUAUAGCUCAAACAUCAGCUUCUGUGGAAAUGCUUCCCCCACUUUGCCAAGCAACAAGCCCAGCUUCACCUCUUCGGUUCCUGAUUAAUAAAUGAUUUGUGUACCUAUUGCACUGCCUCUCUGGCUGCCAGAGCUAAGCUCAGCGGUCUGUGCACCUUUGGGUUUCCCCUCUUCCUAUCCCUCUCCCCAUCAUCUCUUGCCCAUGUGCCUUGCCCUUAUGACUGCCGUGUGGUCAGUGCUAAUUAAAUGUUAAUUUUGGAACACAGAGCUAUAGGGAUUUUGGGUAUGACCUACUAGAAAUCCCAGAGCUUAGAAUCAAACCCCUCAGUGGAUCUCUGACACUUGAAAAAACUAAGAUAACUUUCUCCAGAAAAAAGCACCUGCAAAAGAAAAUUCCCAGUUGCAUAGCACUAUACACACACUAGCA